Non-coding RNA from Struthio camelus australis, 6566 nucleotides. The record is from RefSeq and is a predicted model, not a curated record. NCBI's taxonomy places the organism in Eukaryota, Metazoa, Chordata, Aves, Struthioniformes, Struthionidae.
UUAUGGUAGAUCAACUCAGUUAUUGCACUUAAGAAUGAACAUUGAAGACAAGCUGGGAGGAUUAUUUCUUAAAUGUGGUGGCAUAGACCAAAUGCAGUCAUCCAGGGCUAUGGUAGGGAUGGGUGCAGUAUCCGACCAGUCUGGAGUGUCGGGAGAACGGCAAGAGGCAGUGCUUCAAGAUCGGACUAUGGCGCACCAAGAAAUUCUUGCAACAGAUGAAGUGUUACAGGAAAGUGAACUUCGACAGCAAGAGAUGAUUUCACAUGAUGAACUCAUGGUCCAUGAGGAGACGGUAAAAAAUGAUGAUGACAUGGAUACCCAAGACAGACUUCCUCAAGGGCUGCAGUAUGCUGUGAAUGUCCCUAUCAGUGUAAAGCAAGAAAUUACCUUUACUGAUGCAUCUGAACAACAGAAACGAGACAAAAAACAAAUACGAGAGCCAGUAGAUUUGCAGAAAAAGAAGAAAAGAAAACAGCGUUCACCAGCAAAAAUCCUUACAAUAAAUGAGGAUGGAUCACUUGGUCUGAAAACCCACAAAUCUCAUGUUUGUGAGCAUUGCAAUGCUGCCUUUAGAACCAACUACCAUUUACAGAGACAUGUCUUCAUUCAUACAGGUGAAAAACCAUUUCAGUGCAGUCAGUGCGACAUGCGUUUCAUUCAGAAGUACCUGCUACAGAGGCAUGAGAAGAUUCAUACUGGUGAGAAGCCAUUUCGUUGUGAUGAAUGUGGUAUGAGGUUUAUUCAGAAGUAUCACAUGGAAAGGCACAAAAGAACGCACAGUGGAGAGAAGCCUUACCAGUGUGAAUAUUGUUUGCAGUAUUUCUCCAGGACUGAUCGUGUGCUGAAACAUAAACGUAUGUGCCAUGAGAACCGUGACAAGAAACCGAACAGAAGUGCCACCAAAGUUGGCUUUUUGCCAUCAGAGGAAGAUUCUGGUUUCUCUACACCUAUGAAAGACAGCUCCUUGCCAAAGAAGAAGAGGCAGAAAACAGAGAAAACAAAAUCUGUGGAUAAGGAAAGUACAGAUAAGUCAGAACAGAAGAAGGACAAAAAUGACUAUUUGCCUUUGUACUCUGCUAGUACUAAAGUGAAAGAUGAAUAUAUGGUAGCGGAGUAUGCCGUUGAGAUGCCACAUUCUUCUGUCGGUGGGACGCACUUAGAAGAAGCAAAUUCUGGAGAAAUACACCCACCUAAGCUGGUUCUCAAGAAAGUUAACAGCAAGAGGAGUCUGAAACAGCCACUUGAGCAAAGUCAAACCAUUUCACCUUUAUCUACAUAUGAAGACAACAAGGUUUCAAAAUAUGCCUUUGAUCUUGUGGAUAAACAAGGUUUACUGGACUCUGAGGGUAAUGCUGACAUCGAUCAAGUGGAUACAUUACAAGAAGGGCCCAGUAAACCAGUACACAGCAGCACUAAUUAUGAUGAUGCAAUGCAGUUUUUAAAGAAAAAGAGGUAUCUACAAGCAGCUAGUAAUAACAGUAGAGAAUAUGCCUUGAAUGUAAGUACCAUAGCAUCUCAGCCUUCGGUAACACAGGCAGCUGUGGCAAGCGUCAUUGAUGAAGCUGCUACAGCAUCAAUAUUAGACACACAGGCCUUGAAUGUUGAAAUUAAAGGUAACCAUGACAAAAAUGUCAUUCCAGAUGAGGUACUGCAAACCCUGUUAGAUCAUUACUCGCACAAGGCUAAUGGACAACAUGAAAUAUCUUUCAGUGUGGCUGACACUGAGGUGACCUCCAGUAUAUCAAUCAAUUCUUCUGAAGUAUCUGAGGUAACCCCAUCUGAGACAGUUGGAACAAGCUCUCAGGCUUCCUCAUCAGAUAAAGCUAGUAUGUUACAGGAAUAUUCAAAGUUUUUACAACAAGCUUUGGACAGAACUAGCCAAAAUGAUGCCUAUUUGAACAACCCAAGCCUUAAUUUUGUGACUGAUAACCAGACUCUUACAACCCAGCCAGCAUUUCCUUCCAUAGAAAAACAGGUCUACACGUCUAUACCGGUCAAUAGCUUUCGAUCGGGAAUGAACUCCCCGUUAAGAACAACUCCAGACAAGUCUCAUUUUGGACUAAUGGUUGGUGAAUCGCAGCACCCUUUUCCCUUUUCAGGUGAUGAGGCAAAUCAUUCUUCCUCAUCCUCUACACAGGACUUUUUGGAUCAAGUAACUUCUCAGAAGAAGGCAGAGGCACAGCCUGUUCAUCAAGCGUAUCAAAUUAGCUCCUUCGAGCAACCCUUCAGAGCUCAGUACCAUGGGGCAAGAGCUGGCAUAUCAUCUCAGUUUAGCACUGCCAAUGGACAGGUGAACCUUCGGGGACCAGGGACAAGUGCUGAAUUCCCAGAAUUUCCAUUGGUGAAUGUAAAUGACAGUAGAGCUGGGAUGACUUCUUCACCUGAUGCCACAACGGGCCAGACUUUUGGCUAAGAAAUCUUUGUAAAUAAUACUGGCACUUUAGAACACAUUUGUCGAAACGGGGUUGCUCUGUAUAAGACGGAGUUCUGUACAGCUUUUAAGAGCGAUAUGUUAAAACAAAAGUAAGCUGAUAUUAGCAAGACCAAUAACUGCUUUUAUUUUUUUUUUUGGUUAGUCACCAGUCAUUGAACUGCCUGAUGUUGUUGCCCCUAUCAAAGGCAGUUUAUUAUUCACUUGUUUGAAUACAGAAACUAUUUUACCUUCUAUGAAAUUUAAAAUAAACAAAAUCCCCAGUGUUGUCUUAAGGAAAACUGUGGUUCCAGAAGAAAAUAGGACAACAAAAUAUUCAUGUGGAUUAACACUUCCCUUACUUUUAUAUUGUACUUGUCAAUUUUGGGGAUGAAGGUAGCUUUUAAUUGUUAAAUGAGAGAUACAGUAAAAUCUUGCUAAUUCGCUGACUGUUAAUCAGAGCAUCCAGUAAGUUUUGCACAUCCAUGAUGGUCUCUCCCCACCUCUCUGCAAAGUUCUAAAAAAUACUGUAGUGAGGUCUCGUAUUAGGGAUCCUGUAUUGCUUCACCCAAGUAUACUACAGAAUCUAUAUUAGUAUACUGGGAGGUACAAGAAACAUCAAAAACUAAAUUACAAUUGUCAAAAUAAACGAAGAAAGUAUGUUUUGUGAUGUGACAUCCUUGCUUUUCUUGCCUGCUUCUUCACUAUUUUCAAAAUUGUGAUUUGUGAAGGGUUUCUAAGUCAUUGCUGCGAAUUAUUGGGGUUCUACUGUAACUUUUGGAGUUUAUUCUGAAGAAUUUGUGUUCUCCUAUGAAAACUUUCCACCUGGACAUAUACAAUAUAUUCCAUGCUUGUUCAAAGUAUUUUUAUAGUAUUUGUAUCAUAUGUAGUAACUAUUUGAAAUGAACCAGAAUAUUUGGAUGAAUCCUCCCUAAAUUUUGCAGCAUUGGAUUUCUUUACGUAUGUAUAUUUGCUAACUAAAUUUUGUUUAUAAGGAUUUUGAUUUUUAUUCUUGUUCGUUUGCUUGUUUAAAUACGAUUGCAAAUUGCAGGGAAAAUCCUAAUUUUCCUGGGAAACCAUUUGGAAAUUUUAACAGGCAGAAAUAUGCUUAUGCAGUUGGUACCAGUACACAUGGGAACUUUCAAAUUACAUGUUUGGUACUGAAGCAGUGAAUAAUGUUACACUUUCCUAGUUUUAAAUGUUUUGCUAAAAUGAAGCCUUGUAACUUUGAAAGUUCAUUCAACUUAUGGUAAUGCAUGUUUAUGUUAGGCAUGUAAUGCAUUUAGCUAAAGCUCACGUUGCAAAGGACAAGUACUAAGAAAGUAUUACUGCUAAUGAAAAGGAACGUCUUUAAGUUAAAAUUUAAACUUUUGUUCCAUUUUAAAUUGCUUUGUGUCAGGGAAAUAAAUUUAUAGUUGCUUUUGCUAAAACUCUGCAUAUAAAACCUUAUGUUUCCUUUUUAAAAUCGUAUCUUUUGGUAGGAAACAAACUGAGGCAAGCAAACGUUUCUAAGAGUUGUUUCUUGCUUUCCUUAAUCCAAUGGAUGGAAAGGUAAUAUUGUGUAAACAACAUUAUUUUAUUUUUUUAUGCAAUAUCAUGCUGUAAAUAUGAUUUAUCAAAUAAGGAUGUACCUAUGAUUGAAUCUUUGAUUCUGCACAGUUAGAGUUUAUAUAUAAAUAUAAAUGUGUCUUGACAAUCAAGGACUUAUGUCAGUCUUCCUUUAUGAUGUUUAUUAUUGUUAUGCAUUCCAUUUGUUUGAAUUAAGUACAAAUGUGGAAAUUUGUAUUGUCUGUAAAGUAUGUAAUGUUUUUAUAGCUUGUUUAAAAAACAAACAAAUCCUGUAAAUACAUACGAACUGAUCACAGUACCGCUCUGUUAGAAGGCAUAUGAUGUUGUACUGUUUGUAAGCAAUAAUACAGGACAGUGCUAACUUUACAAGUAGCAUAAGGAUAGUUCCAAAAAUACUUUUGGAGUUAAUAGCCUUGUUUGAGUUAAUGAAUACUCUUAAUCAUUUUUUUAUAAAUAAAUUCAAAUGUCCUCCUGCUGGAGUAUAUAACGUUGUUUACACAGCACAAUUUCAGUCGCAGAGGGGACAGUCUUUAGAUCUAUGGCUUCAUCCGUACACACUUUGAGUAAGAAAUGAAUGGCUUGGCUGCACUUCUGCAAGAUGAGGAAGACUGCAAAAGUUGAAUAGCUCUGUCUCUAAAGGAUGAGAGAUACUAUUCUGCUUCUGUGCUGAUUCCUGACAAUUCCUCUACUUAAAUUUGGAGUCUUUAAGUCCCGAUACUGAACUCAUGAGACUUGGGCCUCCAGUAGAAAGGAGUAGUUCUCGUCUUAUUUCAUGUGCAGAUAAACAGUGAAACUUACAAGUCACAUUUCAUUUGGGUUGCUUAUUUUUCAAAUUAUGAGUUACGAGAUGAUGAGAUGGUUUUAUUUGAUUACUAAAACAUCAAACUUACCGUUUGAAUUGAGUAGGUAUUAGACUGUACAGAGCAGCAUAACUAUUUGAACACAGUCAUCACUGCUUUAGAACCUCCCCACCCCCAAUUUAUAAAUGUAUAUGACCUACGUUUUAUAGAAAAAAAUGUUUUUAAAUGCUAGUCAUUUAUAUAAUAUGUGCUUUGAAGGAUUUGCUAGUCCACUUCUGUCACUUUUAGUACACUGGUAUCUUUUAUAUGUAAUGUAUGCUUUUUAUUAUUGUAGUAAAGCAUUUCAGUAGGAGGAAUUUUGCAACAGUAUGAGGGGUUGGAAUUUUCAUUGUCAGAAAUGAAUUAUACUGGACUUUGUCUGUGUAGUCUUGUCUUUCUUUUAAUGCUGUCUGGAAGGGAACUUGGUAUGCAAUAAAGCAAGUGACCUCCUUUUAUUUUGAAGGCAUACUAUGUAGUGCUGAAUUGAAUAUGGAAAUAUGAUGAAUCUGAAGAGAGAGAAAUUAGUACAAAAUCUAGUGUACAGGAGAAAAUAAAUGUGUUAUGAAAAACCUGAUGAUAUAUAUAGUGGAAAACUGUUACAGUGGAAUUUCUGAUAUAGUGUUAUUUUCCUUAAGUCCAUAUGCCGCCUUUGUAUUUCAGCUAAUAAAAAAAAAAUCCUUAUAGAUAAUUUUUUGGCAGGAUUAUAGGUUUAUUUCAAUGAUUAUCCAGUAUUUCUUUAUUCUACAAUAUCAAUUCCGUCCCUUUAUUGUCAGUGUAAAAAUUAAAAUGACAAAAAAGAUCAUAACGUGAAUUCCAUCAGUAAAACUCUGUAUAUAGGCAACAGAUGGCUUUGUAGGAACCUGAGAAGUAUGAAUUUGUAUAUUCCUUAUGUUUCUGACAGAGAGCAGUAGGUGAGUCUUUCUUUAUUCCUGUGAAAUGAGGAAUUUCCUGAUACAAAGUGUGGGGGUGUGCGUGCGUGCGUGCGUGUAUGUAUGUAUAUGAAGGAUAUUUGGGUCUCAUGGCAAAACCGAUUCAAAUACAAAAGGAUUUGCUGUAGUUCAAGACGUGGCUUACAUGUAAUAUGUAAAAAAACAAAAACCAUAUAAAUUUCGUAAUCAAUUCAAAAAGACAAAAAUAGUUUUGCAGGAAACAAAACUAUUUGGAUAGCAGGCUUGACCAAAUGAACUUUUUGGUUGAACUUGAUAUAUUUUAAAUGAUUCUAUUUCAGCCUUUAUUUCUGCCCUAAAAGCAACUUAAAAUAUUUCGGAAGUUAAUCUUCCUUUUCAUUUGACUGUGAGUGUAAUUUAUAUCAUGGUUUACAAAAUAUGGCAUGAAGGAUUGGAUUGUUUUAUCUGUAUAAUACAAUGAAAGAUUGCGUUUUACAUGAUCAUGGUGAAUGGUAUUGUAUUCUUAGAAUUGAUUUAUUCAUUACGUGACUUAAAUGAGUUUCAGCGCUUUUGACAUUACUGUUUUCUUAUGGUUAACUUAGUCAUUUUGGGUUUAUAAUACCCUUCUAUGUAUCAUGAUACUAAGGGAAGUUAUGUUUUUGCUUUAUUUUUAAUUAAACUAAUAGUUUGAUAAUUUAUAUUUGCAAAUGAUGCAUUUUAAAUGUGGUCACUUGCUGUUUGAAAAAUAAAAAUACAGAAUACUGUUUUAUGAAUAGACUUAGCAGUAUUUUUCAUGUUAGAUACUUUCAGACAAAAUCUACUUUCUUAAUGAGAAGGACGAAGGCAUGUGUGCAAGAACUA